RNAcentral lists this ribosomal RNA (253 nucleotides) under uncultured Lachnospiraceae bacterium. RNAcentral's name for it is "partial 16S ribosomal RNA". It matches the Rfam family "Bacterial small subunit ribosomal RNA", at positions 524 to 776 of the family's 1533-position model. The record is from RNAcentral. Lineage: Bacteria; Bacillati; Bacillota; Clostridia; Lachnospirales; Lachnospiraceae.
UACGGAGGAUGCGAGCGUUAUCCGGAAUGAUUGGGCGUAAAGGGUGCGCAGGCGGUCCUGCAAGUCUGAUGUGAAAGGCGGGGGCUCAACUCCUGGACUGCAUUGGAAACUGUAGAUCUUGAGUGCCGGAGAGGUAAGCGGAAUUCCUAGUGUAGCGGUGAAAUGCGUAGAUAUUAGGAGGAACACCAGUGGCGAAGGCGGCUUACUGGACGGUAACUGACGUUGAGGCUCGAAAGCGUGGGGAGCAAACAGG